AAACAGAGGGACAGAGGGUCAACCGGACGAGAGCUCAGAGCUCUUCUUCUGCACUUCUGCUUCACUUGGCCAACGAUUUCUCCUCUUCUCAGCCGCGACCUCGUCUCCUCUUCUCAUUCAGUCUCUCCCUCGCCCUUUUGCCUUUGCGCAUAUGAGAUUUUGAAGGUAACAAACUUAGGGCUUUUUAUUUGAUAAUUUAAAUUUUUUAAUUUGUUAGAAUUUGUUGUUGGUUGUGGACUUGGGGAGUUGGGUUAAACCCAAUUCAAUUUAUUUGAUAUAUUUGUUGUAUUGGACUUGAGGUAGCUAAUUAAGGUUUUUUUAUUUUGAUAUUUUUUAAAUUUUUAGGGCUUUUUUUUUAUUAUAAUUUUUCUGUCGUUAUAUAUAUAUAUAUAUAUAUAUAUAUAUAUAUAUAUAGUUCUGAUCUCUUGCUUCAUAUGUAUUUGUGCUGCUUUUAUGGGUAUAUUCAUGAAGUUUUUGCAAUUGGGUGAAUUAGAAAUUGCUUUAAUUUUAUGUACAGGACUUAUGGAUCUUUUGAUAUUUGAUGAUUGCGGAAUUUAGUGAUGCACCAGCACACCAUUAUCUUAAUGUUAUAUUAUACUCUUCUUUGCUUUGAGAGCUCAAGCAUAAAUGGUAUUCUAGAUGCAUAGGUUUAUCCUGUUCUAUUAAAUUUUGGAAGCUUUUUGUGUGUGUAUGUUUAUAUGCUGACUGGAGGACCCGGAACUAGAUAGUGCAUUUGUUUAUGAAUUGUAGACUGUAUUUUUUUUAAUAUGUGCCUCAUUGAUGUAAUUUAAAGGAAGACCAUAACUGCAACAACUUGAGCAUAUUAUAAUUUAAUUUUUUUGAAUUUGUUGUUUUUGUAAAUUGUGAGUUGAUUUUAACUAUUAGGGUUUGAUUUUGUUUGAACAUUGAAAGCAAAUUUGGUAUGAAGCUUUGUGCACACGGUUGAAAUUGUAAGUGUUUAGAGAAUCAUUCAAAUUGAAUUAUAACAAGUAAUCGAAGUAAGUUUCUAAAUUCUAUCUAAAUGUUUAUUUAUUUUGAAAUUUCUUUUUUAUUUUGGGUUAUGAUUUAUGAAUAUUUAUUUGUUGAUGUUGCUACUGCCACGGUGGAGAGAUUAUUUUCAGCGAUGAAUAUUAUUAAAACUACUAUUCGAAAUCAAAUGUGCGAUAAAUGGUUGAGUGAUUGUUUGGUUCCUUACAUUGAAAAUGAUGUAUUUGAAAGUAUUGAUAAUGAAGCUAUCUUAGAACAUUUUCAAGCUAUGAGGUCUAAGAGGAUAGCAUUGUAAUUUGUAAACACUAUUAUGAUUAGUUCAAAUUUUCUUUAUUUAACUUCAGCAAAAAAAUUAAUUAAAUCCUCGCCUGCUGAGAUUUAUUCCUGGAUCCGCCCCUGGUUCGACUCAAAUUGCAGUAUCCAUUUUCUUCAGCACACUGUAGAGAGAUGGUGAAGAGAGAGAAAAGGUGAAAGCUCCAAGAAAGCGGAG
This 1477-nucleotide long non-coding RNA is filed under the name Panax ginseng (ginseng). Its description in RNAcentral is "long non-coding RNA (PGIN_LNC009871)". The record is from RNAcentral. Lineage: Eukaryota; Viridiplantae; Streptophyta; Magnoliopsida; Apiales; Araliaceae.